UAACUUUCGUCAAAGUCAAACUGUUUUAAGUUUGACCAAGUUUGUAGAAAAAAUAGUAAUAUUUUCAACCCAAGAUAAAUUUAUUAUGAAAAUAUAUUCAAUUAUUGAUUUGAUGAAACUAAUUUAGUUUUAUAAAUAUUAUUAUAUUUUACUACAAACUUAGUCAAACUUAGAACAGUUUAACUUUGACGAAAGUCAA
MicroRNA precursor from Oryza sativa Japonica Group (Japanese rice), 199 nucleotides. It matches the Rfam family "MIR1435 microRNA precursor family". The record is from Rfam. Lineage: Eukaryota; Viridiplantae; Streptophyta; Magnoliopsida; Poales; Poaceae.